RNAcentral lists this ribosomal RNA (901 nucleotides) under uncultured crenarchaeote. RNAcentral describes it as "bacterial SSU rRNA". It matches the Rfam family "Archaeal small subunit ribosomal RNA", at positions 22 to 903 of the family's 1478-position model. The record is from RNAcentral. Lineage: Archaea; Thermoproteati; Thermoproteota.
CCCCACUGCUAUCGAGGUGGGACUAAGCCAUGCUAGUCGAACGAACAGAACUAUGUCUGUUAGUGGCAUACUGCUCAGUAACACGUAGCUAACUUACCCUUAGGACGUUUAUAACCCCGAGAAAUUGGGGCUAAUAAGCGAUAGAUGUGAUGUCCUGGAAUGGUAUUACGUCUAAAGGUAUCCCAUACAUGUUUGGUAUACGCCUAAGGAUGGGGCUGCGGCCGAUCAGGCUGUUGGUGAGGUAAUGGCUCACCAAACCUUUGACCGGUAUGGGCCAUGAGAGUGGUGGCCCAGAGAUGGACACUGAGACAAGGGUCCAGGCCCUACGGGGCGCAGCAGGCGCGAAACCUCCUCAAUGCACUAACGUGCGAAGGGGUUACCUCGAGUGCCAUCUGAAGAAGGUGGCUUUUCCUUGGUCUAAAAAGCCUCGGGAAUAAGAGGGGGGCAAGACUGGUGUCAGCCGCCGCGGUAACACCASCCCCCCGAGUGGUGGGGAUGAUUAUUUGGCCUAAAGCGUCCGUAGCCGGCCUGAAAAGUUUCUCGUUAAAUCUAACGUCUCAAGCGUUAGACUGCGGGAAAUACUGUCUGGCUAGAGAGUGGGAGAGGUAAGCGGUAUUCUGGGGGUAGGGGCGAAAUCCUUUGAUCCCCGGAGGACCACCAGUGGCGAAGGCUGCUUACUAGAACACGUCUGACGGUCAGGGACGAAAGCUGGGGUAGCGAACCGGAUUAGAUACCCGGGUAGUCCCAGCUGUAAACGAUGCAUGCUAGGUGUUGGGUUGGCCACGAGCCACCCCAGUGCCACAGGGAAGCCGUUAAGCAUGCCGCCUGGGAAGUACGAUCGCAAGAUUGAAACUUAAAGGAAUUGGCGGGGGAGCACCACCAGGCGUGAAGCCUGCGGUUU